This 433-nucleotide ribosomal RNA is filed under the name uncultured bacterium. RNAcentral describes it as "partial 16S ribosomal RNA". It matches the Rfam family "Bacterial small subunit ribosomal RNA", at positions 29 to 507 of the family's 1533-position model. The record is from RNAcentral.
AACGAACGCUGGCGGCAUGCCUAACACAUGCAAGUCGAACGAGAUCUUCGGAUCUAGUGGCGCACGGGUGCGUAACGCGUGGGAAUCUUCCCUUGGGUUCGGAAUAACUCAGAGAAAUUUGAGCUAAUACCGGAUGAUGUCGAAAGACCAAAGAUUUAUCGCCCAGGGAUGAGCCCGCGUAGGAUUAGCUAGUUGGUGGGGUAAAGGCCUACCAAGGCGACGAUCCUUAGCUGGUCUGAGAGGAUGAUCAGCCACACUGGGACUGAGACACGGCCCAGACUCCUACGGGAGGCAGCAGUGGGGAAUAUUGGACAAUGGGCGAAAGCCUGAUCCAGCAAUGCCGCGUGAGUGAUGAAGGCCUUAGGGUUGUAAAGCUCUUUUACCCGGGAUGAUAAUGACAGUACCGGGAGAAUAAGCCCCGGCUAACUCCGUG